RNAcentral lists this transfer RNA (74 nucleotides) under Limimaricola pyoseonensis. RNAcentral describes it as "tRNA_Gly_TCC". It matches the Rfam family "tRNA". Rfam says of the family: Transfer RNA (tRNA) molecules are approximately 80 nucleotides in length. Lineage: Bacteria; Pseudomonadati; Pseudomonadota; Alphaproteobacteria; Rhodobacterales; Paracoccaceae. The record is from RNAcentral.
GCGGGCGUGAUGUAGUGGUAGCCUGUCAGCCUUCCAAGCUGAAUGUGCGGGUUCGAUUCCCGCCGCCCGCUCCA